Molecule: transfer RNA, 82 nt
Filed under: Streptomyces sp. MUSC 14
Lineage: Bacteria; Bacillati; Actinomycetota; Actinomycetes; Kitasatosporales; Streptomycetaceae
Description: tRNA-Gly
Source: RNAcentral
GCAGGUCAGUGCCCGAACCGGCCGCAAGUGACCGCAGCUUCCCAAGCUGAGAGCGCGAGUUCGAUUCUCGUCACCCGCUCCA